UGAGGUCAGGCAAGGAAAGAAGUCUUUAAGAAAAGCUGGAAGGGACAGAAAUAUUGACAAGACAACCCUACAAAGAUUCAUAAAGAAAAAAGAGAAAGGGCAAGUAAAAUCAGUAGCCUGGAGUGCAGUAGCUGAGGCAAAGAGAAUAUUCACAGAUGAGAUGGAGGAGGAGCUUGCUAAACACUUGAAACAACUAGCUGACCAGUUCCACGGCCUUCCUCCAGUUAAGUGCCGUGAACUGGCAUUUGAAUACGCAAAGAGAAACAAUAUCCCUGUUCCAGCCAAUUGGACAGAGAAACAAUGUGCAGGAAUAGAGUGGUUUCGGAGGUUUCUUGCAUGUUGCCAUCUGUCUGUCCAAACUCCAGAGGCAACAUCCCUGGGAAGGGCUACAGCCUUCAAUAAAACUACAGUAGGGGAGUUCUUCAACAAUCUGGCUGUAGUGAUGGACAGGUGACACUUUUUUAGUUGCAAAUGUUUUAAGUUAGCUUUACCCGUAAGAUUUGUUUUGAAUUCUGAUAAGGUUUUUUUUUUUGCCUCUCCUCUUUCAUAGGCACACAUUCCCUCCACACAUGAUUUACAAUGUAGAUUAAACCGGCGUCUUUACAGUUCAAAAGCCACGACAGGUAAGCUACACAUGAUACACAAGAGAGCACCAUACUGAUAUUGAGUGGAUUGUGAUAAUAACAGUGAACCUGUGAGCUGGAAAAAUGAAUGGAAUGAAAUUAAAUACAAUGUACUUUUAGACCAAUAGUAACCUACUGAUUGUACAUUUGUCCCUGAUUCUAGACUUUCUAUCUUGAUUCAGGUUGUGACAGAGAAAGGAAAAGAGCAAGUUGGUUCUAUCACAUCAUCUGAGAGGGGAGAACUAGUGACUGUGGUGUGUGCAGUGAAUGCUGCUGGGAAUGCCAUACCUCCUAUGUUUGUCUUCCCCAGAGUUAGGUUUAAGGAUGACUUCCUGAUAGGAGCAACUCCAGGAGCCAAAGGUGCCUCCACCAGAACAGGAUGGAUGAAUGAAGACAAGUUCCGAUUAUGGGUCCAUGUUCUGAGACCCAGACUGUGCAUUAGCUGGUUCUGCUUGUACUUUGCUCUUGACACCCAGAUACUAGCUAAAGGUCCUGUGUUAUGAUUCUCACACUGUGAAUGUUAAUUAAAACAUUUUGAAGUAUA
Long non-coding RNA from Xiphophorus couchianus (Monterrey platyfish), 1167 nucleotides. RefSeq lists it as uncharacterized. Lineage: Eukaryota; Metazoa; Chordata; Actinopteri; Cyprinodontiformes; Poeciliidae. The record is from RefSeq and is a predicted model, not a curated record. The transcript has 2 exons.